GGUCUUUUGUCACCCAGGCCAGAGUGCAGUGGCUCCAUCUCAGCUCAUUACAGCCUUGACCUCCCAGGCUCAAGUGAUCCUCCUACCUGAACCUCCAGAAUAGCUGAGACUACAGGUGCACACCAUCAUACCUGGCUAAUUUAAUUUUUUUUUUUUUUUUUGAGAUAAGAGUUCUGCCACUUUGCUCAUGCUGGUCUCAGACUCUUUUUUUUUUUUUUUUUUCCUGAGACCGAGUCUUGCUCUGUCACCCAGGCUGGAGUACAGGGGCAUGAUCUUGGCUCACUGCAACCUCCAUCUUCUGGGUUCAAGCCAUUCUCCUGCCUCAGCAUCCCCAGUAGCUGGGGUUACAGGCACGUGCCACCAUGCCCAGCUAAUUUUAGUAUUUUAGUAGAGAUGGGGUUUCACCAUGUUGGCCAGGCUGGUCUCAAACUCCUGACCUCAAGUGAUCCACUCAUCUUGGCCUCCCAAAGUGCUAGGAUUACAGGCAUGAGCUACCACACCCAGCCAGGUCUCAAACUCAAGCUCAAGUGAUCUUCCUGCCUUGGCCUCAAAGGUACUGGGAUUACAGGAAGAGGGAAGUUUGGACACAGACACACACAGACAAGAGAAUACCAUGUGACAAAGGCAGAGAUUGGAAUGAUACAGCUGCAAGCCAGGGAUGCCAAGGAUUGCAGGCCUUCAAUCAUGAGUGACAGAUUAUAAAUCAUCCUUACACUGAAGUGCACCAGAGUCAAAUAAGCAUCAUUUGGCUUUCUCUCUCUUUUAAAAAAAUCUUUAGUUUUUCAUAAUAGUCUUCUAUAUGGAGAUGUUGAAAAUCUUUCAUUUGUUUUAUUCCUAGAUAUUUGAUUGAAAAAACAAACAGAGGUGAGGUUGCCCGGGCUGGAGUGCAGUGGCCAUCCUCAGGCACGCUUAUACUGCAUUACAGCCUUGAACUCCUGGCGUUAAGUGAUCCUCCUACCUCAGCCUCCCGAGUAGCUGGGACUACAGGUGUCCACCACCACGCCUGGCUAAUUUUUUGUAUUUUUAGUAGAGACGGGGUUUGACUGUGUUAGCCAGGAUGGUUUCGAUCUCCUGACCUCAUGAUCUGCCCGCCUUGGCCUCCCAAAGCGCUGGGAUUAUAGGCAUGAGCCACCACGCCCAGCCAGAUGUUAUAUUUAAACAUUUCAGUUUACAAUUAUUUUUGUUACUGGUAUAUAGAACAUACAAUUGGUUUAUGUGUGUUGAUUUGAAUUCAGUGACCUAGAUAAAAUUCCAAAACUUGAUCUGAAGGUUCUUUAGGAUUUGCUAUGUACAUAAAUGACAGCUUUCUUUCUUUUUUUAUCCUUAUUUCUGUUAUUUCUUUUUCUUGCCUUAUUGCAUUGGCUAAGGUAUCCAUUCAAGGUCAAAUAGAAGUGGUAGCAGGCAAACUUAGCAAGUUUCCAGUUUCAGAGGAAAGCUUUUAGCAUUUCAUCAUUAAGUUGAUACUUGCUGAGGUAUUUUUGUAGAUAACCUGUAUCAAUUAGCUUUUGUUGGAUAACAAAAGAACCACAAAGCCAGUGAUAUAUAACAAUAGAUACUUAUGUCUUACACAUAUGUGGCAAUCAGGUGAUCUGGGCUAUGCUUAGCUAGAUCACUCUGCUGGUCUUGGCUGAGCUCAUGCAUGCAUCUGCAGCUCAGCUAGGAGCUCUGUUCUCAGCUAGGCUUGACUGAGUACCUUAGCUGGAGAACUCAUGUUCUACGCAUUUCAUAUCUUCUUCCUGGAACCAGAAGGAGCAGCUUAGGCAGGUUCUUUUCAUGGUAAAGAGUAGAAGAACAAAAAAGCAAACCCCAGUAGGCAAGCUCAUUUCAAAUUUUUACUUGCAUCACAUAUGCCAAUAUCCCACUGGCCAAAGCAAGUCAUAUGCCUGAGUCCAGAGUCAAGGGUAACUUUGCCCAUGAUUGAGGGCAUUGCAAAAUUAUAUAGCAAAAGGUGUGAAACAGGAGGGGCAAAGAAGUGCAAUCUACUAUAUGUUAUUUUAUAUCUUAUUUCCAGAAUAAGAACAAUUGCUCCCAUUUCUAGUUUGCUAAGGAUUUUUAUCAUCAGUGGAUAUUAAAUUUUAUCAAAUAUUUCUUUUUUUUUUUUUUUAAGACAGAGUCUCGCUCUGUCGCCCAGGCUGGAGUGCAACAGCAUGAUCUUGGCUCACUGCAACCUCCGUCUCCCAGGUUCAAGCCAUUCUCCUGCCUCAGGCUCCUGAGUAGCUGGGACUACAAGCCCCAGCCAUCACACCCGGCUAAUUUUUGUAUUUUUUUUUUUUUAGUAGAGGCAGGCUUUCACCAUGUUGGCCAGGUUGGUCUUGAACUCCUGACCUCAAGUGAUCCGCCCACCUCGGCCUCCCAAACUGCUAGGAUUACAGGAGUAAGCCACUGUGCCUGGCCCAAAUAUUUUUUUAAUCUAUUGAGGUGAUCAUAUUUUUCUCCUUUGUACUAUUAAUAUGACACAUUACAUAGAUUGAUUUUGAAUUAUUAAAGUAACCUUGCUGUGGUGGGCAGCCUGUGGGGUGAUCUGUGAUCCCUGACUCCUGCUGUUGACACCCUGUCUAAUCCUUACUUUUGAGUGGGGGCUGGAUCUAGUGACUUGCUUCUAAUGAAUAGAAAAUGGCCAUGGUGAUAUGAAAAGUCAUUGCUGAGGUUAGGUUACAAAGAUUUAAACUUCAAUCUUUCUCAGCCCUUCCUCCAGGGAAAGCAAGCUGCCAUGUUGUGAAGGCUGCUUUGGAGAGGCCCAAAUAGCAAGGAACUGUCUCUGUCCAACAGCCAAUGGGACCUGAGACCAAUAAAUACACAUGACUGAGUUUGGAAGUGGAUCCUUCCCUAGUCAAGCCUGGGGCAUUAAAUGAAUUUAUAAAUGGAGGUAAAACAUGUAGAACAAUUGUGGCACCUAGUAAAAGCUUAAUACAAUUUAGCAACACUACCUCUGAGUUUGCCUUUUCAUAUUUGUUAAAUGGGGAUAAUAUGAUCUAUUCCAUUGGAUUGUUGUAAACAUGAAAUAAAAUAAUGUAUUAGUAAGCACUUAAUGAAUAAUCACUACUGUUUAUCUUAACUGCCUAAACUGCUGUUUAGAUGAAAAGUGUUUUUGUUUGUUUGUUUUUAAGACAGGUUCUCACUCUGUCACCCAGGCUGGAGUGCAGUGGUGUGAUAACAGCUCACUGCAGCCUUGACCUCCCAGGCUCUAGUGAUCCUCCCACCUCAGCCUCAACUAGGACUACAGAGGCAUGACACCAUGCCCAGCAACUGGGUCUCACUAAGUUGCUCAAACUGGUCUCAAGUGAUCCUCCCACCUCAUCCUUCCAAAGUGGUAAAAUUACAGGCACGAGCCACCAUACCUGGCAAGAAGAAAGCUUUUUAAAAAUAGGAAUUGCAUUUUGGGCUGGGUACAGUGGUUCAUGCUUAUAAUCCCAGUGCUUUGGGAGGCCGAGGCAAGAGGAUCACUUGAGGUCAGGAGUUUGAGACCAGCCUAGGUGACAGAAGGAAACACUGUCCCUUGAAAAAAUUUUAAAAAGAAAUUGCAUUUUAUCGACCUUUGAAUUCUCUAACAUAACAAAAAUAGAUGUUCAAUUAAUGGUUUGGAAUUGACACAUUCAAUCUGUCUUUAUAUAUGUGAAACAAAAAAACAAGCUUCAUAGACUUGGACAAGUUGGAAAUGUAACCUCUGUUUCUUCAUCUAUUAA
This 3683-nucleotide long non-coding RNA is filed under the name Homo sapiens (human). RNAcentral's name for it is "HSALNT0368775". The record is from RNAcentral. Lineage: Eukaryota; Metazoa; Chordata; Mammalia; Primates; Hominidae.